Long non-coding RNA from Cydia strobilella, 474 nucleotides. RefSeq lists it as uncharacterized. NCBI's taxonomy places the organism in Eukaryota, Metazoa, Arthropoda, Insecta, Lepidoptera, Tortricidae. The record is from RefSeq and is a predicted model, not a curated record. The transcript is spliced from 3 exons.
UUUUGCUUUUUCAAUAAAUAGGUAAUUGAAAUUACUCAAGCGAAUUCAAAUGUUUACCGUUUGAUUCAUUUCACAGAUUAAUUUCAUGCUCUGCACAAAAUUCUAUAUUGAAGUAUUGCCAAUGCAUACAUUUGAAGAAGUUUAAAUAGCGGUGGAUAGCCUAGAUGGGCAUGUAACUUAUCUCUUAACAGCAGUUAUAUUAGCUUUAACUUGCUAAUAUAAAUUAUAGUAAUGACGUGCAAAAUAUUUAUAUAUUUUGCAAUUGCGAGUUAUAGCGUUGUAUGUGCUGCAACAAUACGAUCAAUGGACCAAAACAAAAUAUAUGCUCCUAAAGAGUGGAAACUUCGAGAAGGCCACAAGUACUGGCGUAUGUCAAAAAAUCAAAAGCGGGCCGAUAUUAACCUGAUGGCUCGCCAACUGCAUCCCUGGCUUAUGAAAAUGAACACUGCUGUCAAGAAUCCAGAAGAUGGAGGA